This 404-nucleotide ribosomal RNA is filed under the name uncultured bacterium. RNAcentral's name for it is "bacterial SSU rRNA". It matches the Rfam family "Bacterial small subunit ribosomal RNA", at positions 29 to 410 of the family's 1533-position model. The record is from RNAcentral.
AACGAACGCUGGCGGCGUGGAUAAGACAUGCAAGUCGAGCGCUAAUUUGAAGGUAGCAAUAUUUUUCAAGUUGGAGCGGCGCAAGGGUGCGUAACACGUGGGUAAUUUGCCAUGAAGUUUGGGAUAACUCGCUGAAAGGCGAGCUAAUACCGGAUGUGAAAAUCAGAAAGCAUUUUCAGAUUUUUAAAGUUGGGGAUCGUAAGACCUGACGCUUCUUGAUAAGCCCGCGGCCUANCAGCUAGUUGGUGAGGUAAUGGCUCACCAAGGCUAAGACGGGUAGCUGGUCUGAGAGGACGACCAGCCACACUGGAACUGAGACACGGUCCGGACUCCUACGGGAGGCAGCAGUGGGGAAUAUUGGACAAGUGGGGAAACCCUGAUCCAGCGACGCCGCGUGGGUGAAG